RNAcentral lists this long non-coding RNA (747 nucleotides) under Fukomys damarensis (Damara mole-rat). Its description in RNAcentral is "lncRNA (ENSFDAG00000027168.1)". Lineage: Eukaryota; Metazoa; Chordata; Mammalia; Rodentia; Bathyergidae. The record is from RNAcentral.
UGAGCAUACGUUUGUCCUCAGAAAAUGUAUCAUGGAUUGAAUGAUCUCAGCGGAAAAUAAGCUACGUUAUCCAAAUAUAUGUGGCAAAAUGUUGGCUACUGUUAAAUCCAGUCUGACAACGACCUGUGGCCCGAGAAUCAGAUUGCUUCCAGUCAGUCCUGGCUUCCCUGUCGCUGAUGAGCAGGCUGCCUCCAGCUGCGCCACACCCCUCCGGCCCCGCCCACCCGGCUUCCGGAAUGUCUACGCUGGCACUUUCCAGGUUGCAGAAUAUGUUCUCGGAGGGGCAGAUUUGCAAAGUGCUCUGGCUCUGACCCAUGCUGUCUAAAUGCGGAACAGUUAUUUCUCCAUGUAUGGAAAUUUAAAUUCAACAACCCCACCCCAUCCCUCCUCCCUGAUCCAGAAAACAAAUACAAUUUUGCCCUAUACAGACAGUGCUUCUUUGAUUUUCCCAGUCUCGUGUAGAGCUUCUCCUGGAGGAGAUGUGUGCAGCAGGUGGAGUAAUUCAGACUCCCUGGCCUUGCUAGACCACAGCCUGAGAAGAACUGGCUAGGACCGCUCUGCUUUCCUGCCCACCCAGGCCUCUGACGGGAAGCUGGUGCGAGAGAUGCCGCCUUGUAUCUGAUUCUUCACUUCCCCACAUCCAGAAAAACAACUCAAGGUCUAAUUUUCUAACCCUUUGAUGGAAACUAGAGAAAGGGAGUUGGGAAAGGAAGUAAAGCAGUGAGAAGCUUCAAUUUAAAAAAAGAC